RNAcentral lists this small nucleolar RNA (135 nucleotides) under Ovis aries (sheep). RNAcentral's name for it is "Small nucleolar RNA SNORA70 (multiple genes)". It matches the Rfam family "Small nucleolar RNA SNORA70". Rfam says of the family: snoRNA U70 seems to be exclusive to mammals and is a member of the H/ACA class of snoRNA which contain H (ANANNA) and ACA box motifs. H/ACA box snoRNAs are involved in the conversion of uridines to pseudouridines (5-ribosyluracil) a constituent of structural RNAs (transfer, ribosomal, small nuclear, and small nucleolar). Lineage: Eukaryota; Metazoa; Chordata; Mammalia; Artiodactyla; Bovidae. The record is from RNAcentral.
UUGCAGCCAAUUAAGCCGACUGUGCUCUUUUCCCCAUGGGGGCCCAGUGUGCAAUGGCUGCAAAUAGCAGGCUCCUUGGUAGUGUAUGCAACCUGUUGCCUAUACAGGCUGCCCUAAGGGACCUUGGAGACAACU